Molecule: ribosomal RNA, 253 nt
Filed under: uncultured bacterium
Lineage: Bacteria
Description: partial 16S ribosomal RNA
Rfam family: Bacterial small subunit ribosomal RNA
Source: RNAcentral
GACGAACCACACGAACGUUAUUCGGAAUUACUGGGCUUAAAGGGUGCGUAGGCGGCGCGGUAAGUAGGGUGUGAAAUCCCUCGGCUCAACCGAGGAACUGCGCUCUAAACUACCGUGCUUGAGGGAGGUAGAGGUGAGCGGAACUUAGGGUGGGGCGGUGAAAUGCGUUGAUAUCCUAAGGAACACCGGUGGCGAAAGCGGCUCACUGGAUCUCUUCUGACGCUGAGGCACGAAAGCUAGGGUAGCGAACGGG